AUGUCAGUGGCACAAUUGGCUAGCGCGUGAGACUUUUAAGCCAUUCCUUUGGUUAGAGAUCUCAAGGUUGAGAGUUCGGUAAAUGGAACAUGAUUCUUUGCCUAAUACU
Saxophila tyrrhenica is the source of this 109-nucleotide non-coding RNA. The record is from the annotation of a RefSeq genome assembly. NCBI's taxonomy places the organism in Eukaryota, Fungi, Ascomycota, Dothideomycetes, Mycosphaerellales, Extremaceae.